RNAcentral lists this ribosomal RNA (309 nucleotides) under uncultured soil bacterium. RNAcentral's name for it is "bacterial SSU rRNA". It matches the Rfam family "Bacterial small subunit ribosomal RNA", at positions 26 to 337 of the family's 1533-position model. The record is from RNAcentral.
AGAUUGAACGCUAGCGGGAUGCUUUACACAUGCAAGUCGAACGGCAGCGCGGACUUCGGUCUGGCGGCGAGUGGCGAACGGGUGAGUAAUAUAUCGGAACGUGCCCAGUAGCGGGGGAUAACUACGCGAAAGCGUGGCUAAUACCGCAUACGCCCUACGGGGGAAAGGGGGGAUCGGCAAGACCUCUCACUAUUGGAGCGGCCGAUAUCAGAUUAGCUAGUUGGUGAGGUAAAGGCUCACCAAGGCGACGAUCUGUAGCUGGUUUGAGAGGACGACCAGCCACACUGGGACUGAGACACGGCCCAGACU